CAGCAGCCGCGGGAAAACGUAGGGUGCGAGCGUUAAUCGGAAUUACUGGGCGUAAAGCGUGCGCAGGCGGUUAUACAAGACAGAUGUGAAAUCCCCGGGCUCAACCUGGGACCUGCAUUUGUGACUGUAUAGCUAGAGUACGGUAGAGGGGGAUGGAAUUCCGCGUGUAGCAGUGAAAUGCGUAGAUAUGCGGAGGAACACCGAUGGCGAAGGCAAUCCCCUGGACCUGUGCUGACGCUCAUGCACGAAAGCGUGGGGAGCAAACAGGAUUAGAUACCCGCGUAGUCCCUGUCUCUUAUAC
This 301-nucleotide ribosomal RNA is filed under the name uncultured bacterium. RNAcentral's name for it is "partial 16S ribosomal RNA". It matches the Rfam family "Bacterial small subunit ribosomal RNA", at positions 509 to 807 of the family's 1533-position model. The record is from RNAcentral.